Molecule: non-coding RNA, 2961 nt
Organism: Sus scrofa (pig)
Lineage: Eukaryota; Metazoa; Chordata; Mammalia; Artiodactyla; Suidae
Source: RefSeq, a predicted model, not a curated record
GUCUGAGCGUGCGCACGUGCGCAGGUGCACAUGUGUAAUUGUGUUCUUUGAUUCCAGAAAAGCAGAGUGGUGUUUAGCUGUUCUGUUCUCUUUUGCCAUCGCCGAAGUGAUAGCCACCCUAGGCAGGCAGAGGCUUAAUGGGAGACCAGACCUUCUCCAUCUGCAUUCUGCGUCGGUCUGCAGUGUUGGGGCGAGGAGCAGCGUGGAGUCCUGGAGAGCUGCUGCCUCCGUAAUUCCACAGAGACCGCCUCAGCCCCUGUCCUGUUUCUCCCUAAGGCCAAAAGCUUGAUACAGGGUGGAGUGUGCUUGGCACCUGGCUUUCCCUCGCUGUGGUUGAAAAUCCUCUUGGGGCUCAGGGUACCUCCCCUCCUGGGUAAGCUUCUAGUGCUCUGGAAGGCAAUGGCUUAGUGUGUGGAGAGAGGGCUGCGUGUGCUGGAAUCAGCCCGUGAGCUCAGAGACCUGGCCUUUCCCACAUCUGGCCACCGUUGCACCUACAAAGUGCCUCCCUCCCGUGGCUUCCAGCUUGACUCCCAGAGAGCCAGAGGCAGGGCUUAUUGGAAAGGUAAGCAAAUGGGGAACCUCCCCUUAGGUGUCUUUGCUCAAAGAAGGGGAAUAGCUUUUAGUAUAAGAAACGACAAAACAGUAGAUAGCCCAGCAGCAUAGGUGUUCCUGCGGCAGUGUGGCGUAUGCCUUCUAAAAUCACCUUCUUACACAGAGAGGCACGGUACAAGCCUCAGGACUUAGAGGAACAGCAAACGAGGUUAGGUGCCUAACACGCGAAAACUUUGUUGGUCUCACACACAAAGAUCGGAGCCUAAUAAACAUAGAAGCCCAGUUUUACACACAUUAAAUGGGUAGGACAUAUGUGACUAUUACAAUAAAUAUGGCGCUUUACCUUGAAGAAGACCCGACGGUUGCCUGUAGAAGUGGGCACUGGAGGAGCCGCAGCCUGUGAGGUGGAGGAAGGCGGGUUACCUGAACUCGCCGGCAAGGUUGGCAUCCCCAGGUGUGGGUGGGCGUGGCUCCUUCCCACGUGGUGAACUGAGGCAGCUGGUAGGUGGUUGGGACGUGUGCAGUUGUGUGUUUGUGUACUUCUCUGCCACCCGGUUCAUCUGGAUGCAGUUUUCUGUGUUCAUUUAGCGUUUCUUGCAGACAGAAUCACACAUAAGCAAAUGUGAAAUUCAUUUUAUGCUCAGAUUGUCCUCCUAAUGUGCACAUCAAUCACAUUGGAACAGAUGCACGUUUUCAAAAUAAGCUUUCUAGCAGAACUGGCACCAGUUUAUUUUAUUUUGGAAUUGAGUCCCUUUUCCUUUCUUCCUGUUCACCCUUAUUGAUUUCUUAAUUUAUAUUUGUUAAGCCCAUAUCAGAUUGAUUUUUCAUACCCCAAGCACCUCUGAAGGCAAGAGAGCGGCCUGAGAGCGGCCUGAGGUCUCGCCAGCGGUUCUCCACGCGGAGGUUUCCUCCUUGGCGAAGGAGGAAGCCCGUCUGGCUAUCUCUCAAAAUCCGUCCCCCACACACCCCUGUACCUGUUGCCAGUACCAGGCACGGAAACGGGCAAAAUAUCAUCCUUCUCCUUGGCGUCUUGAGCGAGGCCCAGAUUUAAAUGGCUUUAUUGCGGUUCUUCUUAGGGAGCAGGUGACCCAGCGCUGGGUGUUCUUGGUUUGUGAGCAGAGGAGCACAGCCCUCCGCGUCCCGCUUCGCAGUUCCCUGCGAGUGUGAGGGUGGGAGGAAGGCGCCUGCCGGGCAAGACCCAGGCGUCCUUGAUGGACAGUGCGAGCAGGGCUGCAGAGGACCUCGGAGGUGUGGUGCUUCAGCCGUUGCGGCUGCCGCCGCGGUGAGCACCAGCGGCCAGGCGUCACCGGCACGAGGAAGAAGCGCAGGUGUCCGAGCUGUGUGACUAGGACCCGUUUGGGUUACCUCCCCCGCCCACGCGUGUAUGCACUGCUCGUGCGAGAGGGACGUGAGGAGCGGACCCGUCCGCAGGUGUCUGCUUGUGUAAAAGCCCGGAGGAGGUGGAGGGCCUCCCGCAGUUGCUGCCAGUUACCUCAGGGGACAGGGAGCACUUACUAACCUCCUCUUUAUACAUCUUUUAUUGUUUGGCUUGUUUUAAGAAGCAUGUUUUACUUUUUUAAUUAAAGAAAUCUAAUAAAGUAGAAAAUGAAUAAAUAAUAAUAAUAAAAAAUACCUUCAGGGCCCUGAGCUUUGUUUCCGUCUCCCCAGCAGCCUGGGUCGUUAAAACCGAAUGUGGUGUCCCGGGUGUGGGCCGCCCAGCAGACCUCUGCCCUUGCUGUAGCCUAAGAUGACAGGAACUCUUCCGUAGCAACGCUGUAUUGUUGGGGGGGGGGGGGCGUCUAACCAUUUACACCUCAAAAUCUUUCUUGCGUCUGCUGCUGUCGGCGCACUCUGCCUUUGGUAAGCACUUUGGACCCAAGUCUAGACCUUUCCGUUCUCUGGCUGGAUUCCAUCUCGUUGUGGAAAUCAGGGCUCAGCGUAAGUCAGGAACUGGCCUUGGAUGCAGGCUCUCUAGUCAUGGGUCCUGACGGCCACGGACGAGCAUGAAAACUAGCGUGGCCACGCACAGGUCGCGAGUCCUCCUGCGCCUCGGUGUCUCUGUCUGGCACCGGUCCUACAGUUGUGAGGCUUCAAGGCGAUGCCAUGUGCUAGAAGGCUUAUUACUGGGUUAGGUGCUGGGUGGCAGGCGUGGCAAGAAGGUGGCGAAUUUUGGCUGUUCCUCUUAGUGUGUCAGCCCCAGCUCAGCUCUCCUGUCCAUCACGAUGGGAUGCUUUUGGGUCUAGAAUCAGCCUUUCACCGCAUUCCAUCUCCCUCCUGACUGGAGCAUCGGGCAGGCAGCCCCUGAGACGGUCCCCGUGGCCCCAUCGGGCGGCCCCCGCAACGGUCCCCGUGGCCCCAUCGGGCGGCCCCCGCGACGGUCCCCGUGGCCCCAUCGGUCUCUGUCUGCUU